GACAGAGGAGCCAAGCGUUGUCCGGAUUGACUGGGCGUAAAGCGCACGCAGGCGGCCCGACGCGUGGGGUGUGAAAGCUGGCGGCUUAACUGCCAGACGCCAUCCCAUACGGCUGGGCUCGAGCCCUGCAGAGGUCCAUGGAAUUGCCGGUGUAGUGGUGAAAUGCGUAGAGAUCGGCAGGAACACCCAGGGGGAAACCAGUGGACUGGGCAGGAGCUGACGCUCAGGUGCGAAAGCGUGGGGAGCGAACCGG
RNAcentral lists this ribosomal RNA (253 nucleotides) under uncultured bacterium. RNAcentral describes it as "partial 16S ribosomal RNA". It matches the Rfam family "Bacterial small subunit ribosomal RNA", at positions 524 to 776 of the family's 1533-position model. The record is from RNAcentral.